RNAcentral lists this ribosomal RNA (467 nucleotides) under uncultured bacterium. RNAcentral's name for it is "partial 16S ribosomal RNA". It matches the Rfam family "Bacterial small subunit ribosomal RNA", at positions 28 to 506 of the family's 1533-position model. The record is from RNAcentral.
GACGAACGCUGGCGGCGUGCUUAACACAUGCAAGUCGAACGGAAAGGCCCUGCUUUUGUGGGGUGCUCGAGUGGCGAACGGGUGAGUAACACGUGAGUAACCUGCCCUUGACUUUGGGAUAACUUCAGGAAACUGGGGCUAAUACCGGAUAGGAGCUCCUGCUGCAUGGUGGGGGUUGGAAAGUUUCGGCGGUUGGGGAUGGACUCGCGGCUUAUCAGCUUGUUGGUGGGGUAGUGGCUUACCAAGGCUUUGACGGGUAGCCGGCCUGAGAGGGUGACCGGCCACAUUGGGACUGAGAUACGGCCCAGACGCCUACGGGAGGCAGCAGUGGGGAAUAUUGCACAAUGGGCGGAAGCCUGAUGCAGCAACGCCGCGUGCGGGAUGACGGCCUUUGGGUUGUAAACCGCUUUCGCCUGUGACGAAGCGUGAGUGACGGUAAUGGGUAAAGAAGCACCGGCUAACUACGU